RNAcentral lists this ribosomal RNA (465 nucleotides) under Vreelandella stevensii. Its description in RNAcentral is "partial 16S ribosomal RNA". It matches the Rfam family "Bacterial small subunit ribosomal RNA", at positions 338 to 795 of the family's 1533-position model. Lineage: Bacteria; Pseudomonadati; Pseudomonadota; Gammaproteobacteria; Oceanospirillales; Halomonadaceae. The record is from RNAcentral.
CCUACGGGUGGCUGCAGUGGGGAAUAUUGGACAAUGGGCGAAAGCCUGAUCCAGCCAUGCCGCGUGUGUGAAGAAGGCCUUCGGGUUGUAAAGCACUUUCAGUGGGGAAGAAAGCCUUGGGGCUAAUACCCUCGAGGAAGGACAUCACCCACAGAAGAAGCACCGGCUAACUCCGUGCCAGCAGCCGCGGUAAUACGGAGGGUGCGAGCGUUAAUCGGAAUUACUGGGCGUAAAGCGCGCGUAGGCGGUCUGAUAAGCCGGUUGUGAAAGCCCCGGGCUCAACCUGGGAACGGCAUCCGGAACUGUCAGGCUAGAGUGCAGGAAAGGAAGGUAGAAUUCCCGGUGUAGCGGUGAAAUGCGUAGAGAUCGGGAGGAAUACCAGUGGCGAAGGCGGCCUUCUGGACUGACACUGACGCUGAGGUGCGAAAGCGUGGGUAGCAAACAGGAUUAGAUACCCUUGUAGUC